Molecule: long non-coding RNA, 538 nt
Organism: Malus domestica (apple)
Lineage: Eukaryota; Viridiplantae; Streptophyta; Magnoliopsida; Rosales; Rosaceae
Source: RefSeq, a predicted model, not a curated record
UUCUCUCUAUCGUGAGAGUUUUUCCCUUCUUUUUGUAAGAGUUUUCCCCUUUUCUGCUGUGUAUUCCCCCUCCACUACAUCUUGAUUCUUGAUAUGUCCUUCUCUUCUUAUCUUUCUAGCUUCCCCUUACCACUUCUCUUUCCUACCCGGAGAAGCUGUUUGGGUUUGGAUGAUGAGUUUGGUGAGGCGAUGCUCGGUGAUAGGGUGGAUUGGUGCAGAUCAAGAUGUACGAUUCCGAUGGAGCAAACCUACAACACUGCACCCUGCAUCUGCGCCUUUGCACGAAGGUUAAUUGAAAAGCUUCAAGAAGUCAUUGGAGCUUUAAACGCCGCCUUCAUUUUUCGCUUCUAUUUUUCAGUUGCUCAAUUUAAAGUAUAGUGAACUUAAAACGUUAUUAGUUGCAACUGUGAUGAAAUGAAAGUUGUAUAAUCCAGUGCUCAAUCGAAUAAUCAUAUUUUGCACCAGCUGUGGACAGUGUGUAUACAUAUUAUGUCGAUACUAUCUUCAUCUUUUGUCAUUAUUACGUUCAUAUUCCACC